GACGAACGCUGGCGGCGUGCUUAACACAUGCAAGUCGAACGGAAAGGCCCUGCUUUUGUGGGGUGCUCGAUUGGCGAACGGGUGAGUAACACGUGAGUAACCUGCCCUUGACUUUGGGGUAACUUCAGGAAACUGGGGCUAAUACCGGAUAGGAGCUCCUGCUGCAUGGGGGGGGUUGGAAAGUUUCGGCGGUUGGGGAUGGACUCGCGGCUUAUCAGCUUGUUGGUGGGGUAGUGGCUUACCGAGGCUUUGACGGGUAGCCGGCCUGAUAGGGUGACCGGCCACAUUGGGACUGAGAUACGGACCAGACUCCUAUGGGAGGCAGUAGUGGGGAAUCUUGCACAACGGGCCGAAGCCUGAUGCAGCGACGCCGCGUGCGGGAUGCCGGCCUUCGAGUUGUAAACCGCUUUCGCAUGUGACGUAGCGUGAGUGACGGUAAUGGGUCAAGAAGCCCCGGCUAACUACGUG
This 468-nucleotide ribosomal RNA is filed under the name uncultured bacterium. RNAcentral describes it as "partial 16S ribosomal RNA". It matches the Rfam family "Bacterial small subunit ribosomal RNA", at positions 28 to 507 of the family's 1533-position model. The record is from RNAcentral.